This 70-nucleotide transfer RNA is filed under the name Microhyla achatina (Java rice frog). RNAcentral describes it as "tRNA-Arg". It matches the Rfam family "tRNA". Rfam says of the family: Transfer RNA (tRNA) molecules are approximately 80 nucleotides in length. Their secondary structure includes four short double-helical elements and three loops (D, anti-codon, and T loops). Further hydrogen bonds mediate the characteristic L-shaped molecular structure. tRNAs have two regions of fundamental functional importance: the anti-codon, which is responsible for specific mRNA codon recognition, and the 3' end, to which the tRNAs corresponding amino acid is attached (by aminoacyl-tRNA synthetases). tRNAs cope with the degeneracy of the genetic code in two manners: having more than one tRNA (with a specific anti-codon) for a particular amino acid; and 'wobble' base-pairing, i.e. permitting non-standard base-pairing at the 3rd anti-codon position. Lineage: Eukaryota; Metazoa; Chordata; Amphibia; Anura; Microhylidae. The record is from RNAcentral.
GGAGAACUAGUCUAACUAAAGACAGCUGAUUUCGACUCAUCCAAUUAUGGUUUAAACCCAUAGUUCUCCU